UCUCUGCCCAAUGAUUAUAAAUUAAAUGCGCCGCAGUAUUUUGACUGUGCAAAGGUAGCAUAAUCAAUAGUUUUUUAAUUGAGAACUGGUAUGAAAGAGUUGAUAAAAUAUAUACUUUAUUUAAUUAAAAUUUUAAAUUUAAAAUUUUAGUAAAAAUGCUAAAAUAAAUUUAUGGGACGAGAAGACCCUUUAGAAUUUAAUAUUUUAUUAUUAAAAAUUUUUAUUUUUUAUUUUUUAAAAUAUAAAAUAUUUUAUUGGGAGGAUAAUUAAAUUAAUUUAACUUUAAUAAUAUAAAAGUAAACAAUAAUUAUUGAAAUAAAGAUUUUAUUUAAUUAAUUAAUAGAUUAAAUUACCUAAGGGAUAACAGCGUAAUAUUUUUGGAGAGUUCAUAUUGAUAAAAAUGUUUGCGACCUCGAUGUUGAAUUAAAAUAAAAUUUAAAUGUAGGUGUUUAAAGUUUAAGUCUGUCGACUUUUAAAAUUCUACAUGAUUUGAGUUCAAAUC
RNAcentral lists this ribosomal RNA (502 nucleotides) under Goniozus nephantidis. RNAcentral describes it as "partial 16S ribosomal RNA". The stretch from base 360 to 502 matches the Rfam family "Archaeal large subunit ribosomal RNA", at positions 2542 to 2686 of the family's 2987-position model. The record is from RNAcentral. Lineage: Eukaryota; Metazoa; Arthropoda; Insecta; Hymenoptera; Bethylidae.